RNAcentral lists this small RNA (370 nucleotides) under Arabidopsis thaliana (thale cress). RNAcentral describes it as "ATSL093830". Lineage: Eukaryota; Viridiplantae; Streptophyta; Magnoliopsida; Brassicales; Brassicaceae. The record is from RNAcentral.
AUUCCUUGAUUCAGUGGACAUGAUAUUGUGGAUACAUAAAACAAAAUCAGUAUAAUGAAAAGUUAAAAAUCAGCAAACACAAAGAAAACAAACCAAUAACCAUAAAACAUUGUGGGAAAGAUUUUAAAUAAUCAAAAAUAAAACUUGAAUUCAUUAUUUGCAUGUAUACAUUCAAAGAGGUGCAAAGUAGAGCUGAACAUUUUGGGAGAAGCAUCAAUUUGAUAGAAUACAAAUUAUUUGGAAGCCUCUUUUUCCUACAACAACAACAGAUUCAUCACUAACCAAUAUAAAUCAUGGUUUCAAGUUUUUUUUUUUGGCUUUGACUAAAAAUAGUCCAAGAAGAAAAUAAGGUCAAAAACAUGAAAGAUAU